Molecule: ribosomal RNA, 446 nt
Filed under: uncultured bacterium
Lineage: Bacteria
Description: bacterial SSU rRNA
Rfam family: Bacterial small subunit ribosomal RNA
Source: RNAcentral
CCUACGGGAGGCAGCAGUGGGGAAUCUUGGACAAUGGGCGCAAGCCUGAUCCAGCAAUGCCGCGUGGGUGAAGAAGGCCUGCGGGUUGUAAAGCCCUUUCGGUGGGGAGGAACGGUCUGGUGCUAAGAGCGCUGGGCCUUGUCGUUACCCACAGAAGAAGCACCGGCCAACUCCGUGCCAGCAGCCGCGGUAAUACGGAGGGUGCGAGCGUUAAUCGGAAUUACUGGGCGUAAAGGGCGCGUAGGCGGUGCGUGGAGUCAGCUGUGAAAGCCCUGGGCUUAACCUGGGAAUGGCAGUUGAGACUGGCGUGCUGGAGUGCGACAGAGGAUGGUGGAAUUCCCGGUGUAGCGGUGAAAUGCGUAGAGAUCGGGAGGAACACCGAUGGCGAAGGCAGCCGUCUGGGUCGACACUGACGCUGAGGCGCGACGGCGUGGGGAGCAAACAGG